RNAcentral lists this ribosomal RNA (248 nucleotides) under Trieres chinensis. RNAcentral's name for it is "partial Bacterial large subunit ribosomal RNA". It matches the Rfam family "Bacterial large subunit ribosomal RNA", at positions 671 to 919 of the family's 2925-position model. Lineage: Eukaryota; Bacillariophyta; Thalassiosirophyceae; Eupodiscales; Parodontellaceae. The record is from RNAcentral.
GGGAAACCGAGUCUUAAUAGGGCGACAGUCGCUGGGAUUAGACCCGAAACCGGGCGAUCUAUCCAUGGCCAGGUUGAAGGUCGGGUAAUACCGACUGGAGGACCGAACCAACUUAUGUUGAAAAAUGAGUGGAUGAGCUGUGGAUAGGAGUGAAAGGCUAAACAAGCCCGGAGAUAGCUGGUUCUCCCCGAAAUCUAUUUAGGUAGAGCGUCGCGAUUAUACCCUCGGGGGUAGAGCACUGGAUGGGC